CCUACGGGAGGCAGCAGUGAGGAAUAUUGGUCAAUGGGCGAGAGCCUGAACCAGCCAAGUCGCGUGAGGGAGUACUGCCCUAUGGGUUGUAAACCUCUUUUGUCGGGGAGCAAAAGCCGGACGUGUCCGGCUGUGAGAGUACCCGAAGAAAAAGCAUCGGCUAACUCCGUGCCAGCAGCCGCGGUAAUACGGAGGAUGCGAGCGUUAUCCGGAUUUAUUGGGUUUAAAGGGUGUGCAGGCGGAUUUUUAAGUCAGCGGUCAAAUCGUGGGGCUCAACCCCAUCCAGCCGUUGAAACUGGGGAUCUAGAGUGUGCGAGAGGUAUGCGGAAUGCGUGGUGUAGCGGUGAAAUGCAUAGAUAUCAAGAGGAAUACUCAUUGCGAAGGCGACCUACUGGAACAUUACUGACGCUCAUGCACGAAAGCGUGGGGAGCAAACAGGAUUAGAUACCCGUGUAGUC
RNAcentral lists this ribosomal RNA (458 nucleotides) under uncultured bacterium. RNAcentral describes it as "partial 16S ribosomal RNA". It matches the Rfam family "Bacterial small subunit ribosomal RNA", at positions 338 to 795 of the family's 1533-position model. The record is from RNAcentral.